This 275-nucleotide ribosomal RNA is filed under the name uncultured Acinetobacter sp. RNAcentral describes it as "partial 16S ribosomal RNA". It matches the Rfam family "Bacterial small subunit ribosomal RNA", at positions 338 to 604 of the family's 1533-position model. The record is from RNAcentral. Lineage: Bacteria; Pseudomonadati; Pseudomonadota; Gammaproteobacteria; Moraxellales; Moraxellaceae.
CCUACGGGUGGCUGCAGUGGGGAAUAUUGGACAAUGGGGGGAACCCUGAUCCAGCCAUGCCGCGUGUGUGAAGAAGGCCUUAUGGUUGUAAAGCACUUUAAGCGAGGAGGAGGCUACUGAGACUAAUACUCUUGGAUAGUGGACGUUACUCGCAGAAUAAGCACCGGCUAACUCUGUGCCAGCAGCCGCGGUAAUACAGAGGGUGCGAGCGUUAAUCGGAUUUACUGGGCGUAAAGCGUGCGUAGGCGGCUUUUUAAGUCGGAUGUGAAAUCCCC